GGAAUGUGGCUUAGUGGUAGAGUGCUUGCCUAGCAAGCAUGAAGCCCUGGGUUCGAUUCCUUAGUACCA
RNAcentral lists this transfer RNA (69 nucleotides) under Dipodomys ordii (Ord's kangaroo rat). It matches the Rfam family "tRNA". Rfam says of the family: Transfer RNA (tRNA) molecules are approximately 80 nucleotides in length. Their secondary structure includes four short double-helical elements and three loops (D, anti-codon, and T loops). Lineage: Eukaryota; Metazoa; Chordata; Mammalia; Rodentia; Heteromyidae. The record is from Rfam by way of RNAcentral.